Molecule: ribosomal RNA, 248 nt
Filed under: uncultured bacterium
Lineage: Bacteria
Description: partial 16S ribosomal RNA
Rfam family: Bacterial small subunit ribosomal RNA
Source: RNAcentral
AUACGUAGGUGGCGAGCGUUGUCCGGAUUUACUGGGCGUAAAGGGAGCGUAGGCGGAUUUUUAAGUGAGAUGUGAAAUACUCGGGCUUAACCUGAGUGCUGCAUUUCAAACUGAAAGUCUAGAGUGCAGGAGAGGAGAAGGGAAUUCCUAGUGUAGCGGUGAAAUGCGUAGAGAUUAGGAAGAACACCAGUGGCGAAGGCGACUUACUGGACGAUAACUGACGCUGAGGCUACGAAAGCGUGGGGAGC